Molecule: ribosomal RNA, 462 nt
Filed under: uncultured bacterium
Lineage: Bacteria
Description: partial 16S ribosomal RNA
Rfam family: Bacterial small subunit ribosomal RNA
Source: RNAcentral
CCUACGGGAGGCAGCAGUGAGGAAUAUUGGUCAAUGGACGCAAGUCUGAACCAGCCAAGUAGCGUGCAGGAUGACGGCCCUCCGGGUUGUAAACUGCUUUUAGUUGGGAAUAAACGGGGGCUCGUGAGCCCCGUAUUGUAUGUACCAUCAGAAAAAGGACCGGCUAAUUCCGUGCCAGCAGCCGCGGUAAUACGGAAGGUCCGGGCGUUAUCCGGAUUUAUUGGGUUUAAAGGGAGCGUAGGCCGGCUUUUAAGUCAGCUGUGAAAGUCCGCGGCUCAACCGUGGAAUUGCAGUUGAAACUGGAGGCCUUGAGUGCACACAGGGAUGCCGGAAUUCAUGGUGUAGCGGUGAAAUGCUUAGAGAUCAUGAAGAACUCCGAUUGCGAAGGCAGCUUACUAAACUAUAACUGACACUGAAGCACGAAAGCGUGGGGAUCAAACAGGAUUAGAUACCCCGGUAGUC